UCACCUUAGGAACAAUAAAGUUCCUAAAGUGUUGGCAAAAAUGGUCCAUCAACUUUAUUAUGUAUUAUACUAAUUCUUAAUUUUAUUAUAUAUGAAAGAUAGGUCCCUAUGGUUCAAUAUGACAACAUAUUCUUUCCCAUUUUCUUAUGUGCAGCUUGCUAAUUUUAUGGGUCGUUUCCACUGGUUAACAUGUCCCAAAAAGGGUUAAAGAGAGGUUGCAAAAGAGGGUGGUUGUGAAUUUUCUCACAAGAGUAAAGGGAUGUUGGAUCGAUCGGAGAACAAAGUGGUUGUGGGGUUACAUAUACAUUAUUGGAUCAACAGUUUUAUUUGCUCAUUCAUGAACUACUAAGGGACUAUAGUUUUUUAUUUUAUUUUUUAUUUUUUUAUUUUUUAUUUUUAUGUUUUUCAUUAUUUGUGUAAGUUAUAUCUUUGAUAUGGUAUGGUAGGCUUUGAAUUUGGUUUC
Lactuca sativa (garden lettuce) is the source of this 463-nucleotide long non-coding RNA. RefSeq lists it as uncharacterized. NCBI's taxonomy places the organism in Eukaryota, Viridiplantae, Streptophyta, Magnoliopsida, Asterales, Asteraceae. The record is from RefSeq and is a predicted model, not a curated record.